UUUUGCUUCUGUUUUGUUGUAUUCUUUCUUUCUUUUUCUCUUUUUACACUGUUCAGGAUCAAACCCAGGGCUUGGCACAUGCCAAAUCCUCUUCUAAGCAUUUCUGGUAUCCAAAUUGAUUACAUAUGUAAAAAAAUAACUGAAAUGUUCAUAACUUUUGACCUUGUAACAUCUGCCUUCAUACAAGAGCAGCACAUUUAUACACAUAUAUGUAAAUAUCUGCAUAAUAAAAUCAAGGAGAAAAGGUGAGACCUAGAGGGAAUGUCUGCUAAACAGACGGCGCUGUCCAGGCAGUCCAGCUGUUUCUGGGCUGACGUGAAGUUAUAAGCAUUAAACAGGUCCAUAUAAAUGCGGGGAGUGGGGUCCCCAUGAAUUAUUUUUAUAUGAGAAAGAUUUCAAGGCAAUUAAAAGCCUUAGAAAAGUAGUUAUCUAUCAGUUUUUCCUCUGUAAACCAGGUCCUCGCCUUCGCUUCUUCCAUAACUGGUGUAAAAUGUUUGCCUCCGGCUAAACUUGCGUAAUGAGCUCUUCCGGUGCUAUAAAACAAAUGCUUCAUUGUAAUACAUAGAAGAAUGGGCCACUGGGGUGCAGCUGGAAUAGCUCAGUUGGGAGAGUGUUAGACUGAAGAUGUAAAGGUCCCUGGUUCAAUCCUGGGUUUCGGCAGUGGUUUUAUAAACCUCACAGCUGCUCUGCACUUUGGAAAUAAUCCCGAGUUGCUCAGUCACUUUCUGGGCGUUACCUCUCCCACACUCGGUGCUUCUUUUAAACUCCUGAGUGGAAGUCAGCUAAGCUCCCUGGGUUUGGGUCUGACGGUCCCCUCCCUGCGGACCCCAGGAUCGAGGUCUGCUCUGCAGGGCGCUGUAGGGUUCGGCCGACCCAGACCCUGGCCAUAGCUCAGGGGCUGUGCCUGGCCCAGGAAACCUGCUCACUUCCUUCCCCAAGCAGACCUAUCCGAUUUCGAUCCUCAAAGCCUCACAGCGUGCAAAGCAAUCUGCUUCCAUCACCUACCUGUCUGUGCCUGGGAAGGAUGAGCCCAAGGGCAGAAUCACCAGGGGACCCCCAGCAGGAGCCCUCAUCUGUCACCAGGAGCUGUCCACACCCCUGUGGGGUUCAGGUGGAGCACAGGGCAGUCUGGAGGCCCCGGACUGGAGCCUAAUUUUUAAAACUAGCAAAGGACAGCAAAGCAACUUUUGUAAGACGCUGGGCCGCCCUCAGGGGAUGCGACAGACACACACUUGGCUGCGGCAGCUCCUUGGGUUUGGCCAGGCCAGGCAGGAGGAACCUUGGGGAGAGUGGUGAGAUCCGGGUCUCAAAGGCAAAAGGGAGACUGACGCUUUGCAGCCCCCUCCUGUUCAUCCGCUAAGCUGCCUACCGAGGAGGGGCUCCAUCCUCUACAGGCUUUGGUUCUUGGGUGGACAGAUGCGUUUUAUUAGGGGUUUGGGGAAAAUCCAGCGAUGAACAAAAGCAAGGAAACCAAGAUGGUGGCCAAAUACGUGGACAGGCGGCUCUGAGCGACCGGGUCGGCCUGAGGUCCUGGGCGUUUCGCAUGAGCAUGCGUGGUCGGACUGCAGCAACCAGUUGCUUGGUCUAGAAGUUCUUGGGGAGGUAUCUGCUUUUAAAGAUUUGAUGAGCAUUUGCAUCAGCAGGCUUUGAGGACAUGUGGUUAUUGGGAAGCCCCGGAGGGCAAAGCUCUGCGAGGAAGAAGGCUCUCUCAGAACUCAGACAGGAAGAGCGCCUGGGUCUCCAGCUCCAUGCCCCGUGGAAUGCGGAAUGGACUGCCGCAUCAGCUCACUUAGAUUGCAGAUUGCUAAACCUGCUCCACAGGUUUUGAACCUCUCCACCUCCACAAUUGUUUAGACCAAGUUCUUAAAAUCCAUCCGCCUCUAAGUCUGUUUUCUUCUCUAUCUCUUACGGCUGGAAUCCAAAUGUCCCCCCAAAGCCCCGUAGUGCAGGGGGUCCUGUUGUGGCCAGUGGAAUUCUGAGUAACUGAAUGGAUCUGAGGCUCCACCUCACCACGUGGGUCACUUCGUGGUAGAUUAAUAGCUCAGUGGGCUCACUGGGCAGUGCAGCCUAGUUGGAUGAGGUGGGCACUGCGUGCGGUUGUCUUCGAAGGGUACAUCUCGACCCUCCAGCUGGGCUGCAGCGCCACCCUGAGGCCCUCCCUGGCUCUUCCGUGCUCCGCUUCCCGGCUGCCCUGAGGUAACAGCUUUCCGCUCUGAAGGAAUCCAGCGGCGUCGCACCCUGAUCCCAGUUGUCUCUAACCCGCCACUCUCAGCACGACCGAAUCUGGAACUGACACCACCAGCCCUGCUAUUGAUAGCAGCUGGGCUCCUGUUACCCCUUUCGCUCUCUCAGGCUCACUCUUGUCAGGAAGCUGCAACCCUUUUCAGUGAACUCCACCCCUCCUACAAAAGAGCCCACAGCCUGGAGGAGGGCAGCGGUCUGGUCUCCAGGGCCAGAGCCUCCCUCUCGCGUUUGUUCUGCAGUAAACCCGUCCUGUGAGCUCAUACCCGUUUCUUUUCCCUUUUUCCUAACACUUUCCCAUGGCCUUUUAAAAAAGCACAACAUUUAUUGAUGCAUUUUAGAUAUACAUAAGGACAACAUCCAUCUAGGGAAUCUGGCCCUGUGCAUGAUGCAUCUCGCUUCUACUUUUUUUCUCCCAUGCCCUUCUGCCACAAUGUUUCAGUGGACUGAAACAUCUGAAACCAUGCGCCAAAAUAAAUCUUUUCUAUAGUUGGAUAAAUGUACUUACAGGCUAUGGUUUCUGUUUCCCGGGAGUCCCACCGAAUAGGCUACCUGUACCUCACUGGUCCUGUUUCUGGGGAAGCCGGAUAGCGUGUUUUACCCAGGAAGGGGGGAGCGAGACUGCACUGCUGCCCUCAGCCUCGAGAUCGUCCACCUCGGCCUCACGGGGGGAGUCGCCCCUGGAAACCUGGGCCUUUGCCCUCGAAGCCCUAGCCGUUCUCAGCGCGGAGCGGAGUCGCAGCGAGGCGUGCUGGGGCUGCCGGAGGCCGCAGGUCCCGGGCCGAGUCAUCUGGCUGUCCCUGGAAACCCGAGGUUUUCCUGGCGUCGUCAUCGCGCCCCAAAUUUUGUUUUCUGACGAUGCCGUACAAACUGGAGUUCCAAGCCCUCCGCGUCUUUAAGAAUGACUCAUUUCCUGGCAUCUCCCUUUCUGUACAUGAGACACACGUUCAUACACUUGUUUUUCUCUUUCUAUUCUUUUAUUACGAGAGUCAGGUGCUGGGAGGAAGGAGGGCAAGGGAACAGAAAGGGAGGUGACAUCCAGCUAGCCCGGGAAGAGCACAGGCCCGAAAGCCGGAGGUGUCCGGGUGCGUCCUGGGGCGGACCGAGGCCCCAGCUGCGCGUGCGCGGGGCCGGCUAUGGGCGGGGCGAGGGAGGCCGAGAGGCCGGCCGUGGGUGGGGUGUGGCCGAGGGCGUACCCUUCGGUGGGCGUGACCGGGAUCGCUUCACUCCUUGUCCGUUUCUCGGCUUGCGGACUGGGACGUGGCUGCCCUCGGGUCCCGGCCUUGGCCGUGCGCUGCGGCUGGGACCCUUGGCUCCUCCUGCUCGCGGCCGGGCGGGGCGCAGCCUCAUCUUUCGGGGCGGGGUCUCAGCGUCCAGAUCUGCAUCCGCAGCCCGGCCCAGAUGGGUGCCUCCCCUCGCUGGCUGCGUGUAGUCCCUCUGCGCGGCUCGCGGCUUCGGAACCGAGGGGAUCGCGGGCGGGGCGGGGUCCAGAAUCCACCGGGAAGGCGUCUGCAGGUUCGCAGAGAAGCGGAGCACUCUUAAGGCACUGGAGCAGAAGAACACGUUGUGAGCCCGGGUAGCUCAGUCGGUAGAGCAUCAGACUUUUAAUCUGAGGGUCCAGGGUUCGAGUCCCUGUUCGUGGUGCAGCUGCUUUUUAAGUUAUUUUUGCACCAUGAGAACCGGUGUUGGGGGUACCUGUGUCGGCGGCAUUUAGAGAAAGCCGUGUUCGGAUCCUCGGUGGCCACCUUGCCCCGGGGCCGAUGUCCGCACGGCCGCGCCGAGGCCUGGGGGCGCCGCGCACGUCUGCGGGUGACAGCGGGGGCCAAGUCGGGGCUCCGGGACGAGAGGCAGAGCCGGAGUGCGCCCGAGCGCCCCUACCCGGUCCUCCUCCUCCUCCUCCUCCAGGCCUCCAGCCGUGGUGGUCGCUCUGUCUCAGCCCCGACCUUGCGGCCGGCCUGUCCGGGCGCGGACGAGAGGCGCUCUCCGUUCGGCGGCACUGCGCGGCCUUUGGAGCGGAGCCCGGCCGCUGCUGCAGCAGGGCGGGGUUGGGCACCGCCGGCCUGGGGCGGUGAAGGGCGGCCAGGCCGGGCCUCCUUGCUCCCCGCUGUUCUCCAGCCUCACAGCUCAAAGCAGGGCGCUCCGGGAGGCAACAUUUGGAGGAAAAGUUGGAGAGAAGGGAAACGAAUUCUUUCUGUUUCAAAUUCCCCUAGGCACGUGCAAGGAAGCGUUCGUCCCUGCCGAAAUAGCUCAGUUGGGAGAGCGUCAGACUGAAGAUUAAAAGGUCCUAGGUUCGGUCCCAGGUCUCGGCAGGUUGCCGGUGCCCCGCAGCGACAGACGCGAAGCCGGCCCCCAACAUGGGUCUUUCCCCGGAUUCACAGGCGGCCAGGGCCUUAGCCCUGGCUUCUCCUGAGCUCCGUGGUUUAAUACUUGCGGACGCGAAGCAGCACAUCCUGACAACAGGCCACGGGGCAUUGGUUUUUUGAACAGAAAAGUACUGCAUGUCAGUUCAUAGGGAAAACUGAUACAAAGCAAUCUGCAAAGCCGGCUGCGUCUCGCCCCAUCUCUGAACUCCCAGCCUGGGCCCAGCCGGGUUUCCCCCAACACCCGGGGCUCGCUCGGGACUCCGGAAAAGCGAGUGUGGAUUUUAAAAUAGGCUUCGCCCAAACAGGGACUCGAACCCUGGACUCUCAGAUUAAAAGUUUGAUGCUCUAUCGACUGAGCUCCCCGGGCCCUGCGGGCCGGUACCGCCCUCCGCCUGUCUGGCAAAGGCGCCACGGAAGGGCUGUGAUCCUGCGAGGCGAGGGGCCGGAUCCACCGCGACCCCCCGGCCCCCGGGUUCUUAAGCGCUUUGCCCCGCCUUCUCCGGAGGCAGGCGGGACACGCUAUCUGUCAGGUUAUCCCGCGCUUUGGGAUUCCCCGGUUCCACUCAGAUCGGAGCUUCUCAGGCUGGGAUUUCUGAGCGUUCAGCGGAGAAACGUGCAAAGCACCCACGUCCUCAGUGCUGCAAGGUUCUGGAGGAAGCGGUAGAUGUUGGAAAAUCACAGCAAACGCGCUGCGUCCUCCCCCCUCCUCCCGGCCUUGCAGCCGCGUUCGGGCCGUCCCGUCUCCCCGGAGGUACCUGAGGACCGAGCCCGGUGGUCCCGGCGCCGCCUUGGUUCCUCCGCGCCGGCCCGCGGGGCCACCCGAAGCCUCUCGCAGCGCCGGCCCCUCCUCAGUCCUCCCGCGCGUCCGCCCGCAGGCCGGCCGGCUCCUCCUCCCGCCCCUCGGCCUUUGCGCGGCGGCGCAGCAACAUCGGUGGAGAGGAUCGGGUCUGCUUUCGGUGGACGCUGCCUUCGCUCCUUCCCAGCCGUGGAUUCUCAAGUCGUCCCGCAUUCUCUGCUCUGGCGAAAAGGAACUGUCUGGGGUUCAGAUUCAGACCCAGAUCCCGGCGUCUGCGCACCUAAAGUCCCAACAGGGAACGCCGAAGGGCGAACACAGAGCCGCCAGAAGUGGGGUUCGAACCCGCGCACCCCAGAGACCACGGAGCCCUAAGUCCGACGCUCUAACCAUUCGGCCACCCCGGCACCCUGCCGGAUGGCGUUUUCCUUCCGGGCGACUCGGGCAACACGGACUGAAGUUUCCGAACAGCUCGGGAUGGAUUCGGAUCGCGAGCGUUGCAUGGAAACAGAACGAGCAAAGCCACGCUCAGCCCGCGUCUCCUCGAUCGCAUCUCGUGGAUCUCUGGGUUCAGUACCCAGAAACCGGAGCCCCGGGAAAGCGAUGGAGGAGCCUCGGGAGGGGGCCCGACGCGCCGGAGCGACCGCCUUUGUCCCCAACCAGGGCGCGGCCGAGUGCGGAUUAAAGGCUUCUGUCACUUUAAUUUUCUUUAUCCGACUUCAUCAAAACAAAGCGACUCUGGUGGGACUCGAACCCACAACCUUUGAAUGUCUUUGUUUGUCUAGAAGUCCAAUGCGCUAUCCAUUGCGCCACAGAGCCAGAUGCUUGGAGGUUGCCCCGAGCCGCCUACAGCUCCGUGGCGGGCGCGCGUUCUCGCCCCGGGAGCCGCGCCGGGCGGGCGAGGAGCAGGAGCAUGAGCGGCAGCGGCGGGGGAAGCCGGGCACGGGCGGCUCGGUCCCGGCGGGCGCAGGCCGAGGGCUGCGCGCGGGGUUGAUUACGCCCGGAGGCGGCCGGCCACCGCGCGGUUCCAUAGUGUAGCGGUUAUCACGUCUGCUUUACACGCAGAAGGUCCUGGGUUCGAGCCCCAGUGGAACCAGGGCGUGGGCUUUGUCCCUUUUAGGGAAAAAUCACCCAUUUAGGGCGAAAGUUAGCUUUUGCGAGCCAGAGUUCGCCACGUCCAGCUGGAGACGCGCGAGUCGUCCUCUCCGCUGCCUCGGCGCUCGCAGCCGGCCUGUACCGGCCCGGUUCUCGGGGCGCUCGGGCCUCCCGUGGCUCACGGCUGCCCCCGCGUGGCGGCUCCGCGGAGGUGCAGCCGGGCCCCUGCGCCUGCGCAGUUCGGCGGCCAGCCUUCCCGCGGUGCUCGCUCGCGUCCCCGAUUCCGCGCGGGCCGGCCUGGAAGCCGGAAGUCACGUCCGCGGCCUCGCUUUCCGACAGCUCGAAGUACGUUACGGGCAAGCCAACCCCACGCACAGAGGGUACGGGGCGCGCCGGGUCUCCCGGGGGGCUCCCUCGUCCAGUGCUCUCUGGCUUUCUGUGUAGAUUCACAUGCAGGACAUUUGCACAACUUUUUCUUUUCCUCUUCGGUUUCCGCGCGGGGCCCAGAGCGCCAGGCUGCGCCCGCGCGUGCUGGCCUCGAGCUCCGGGCCCGCUCAGGACGAGGCCGCUCUGCGUCCCGCGGGCGUGCAGCCUUUCAGGGGUCCCCCUCACCCUUCACCGCUGUUUCGGGAGCGGGCAGGGGCCUUGCAGUUCCUUGCUUGGAAAAAUCCUGCCCCACUCUGAGUCGUAUCCCGGGACCCGAGGUCGUGUUGCAGGACCGUGCUGUCUCCCCCGGUGACGGUCUGGCUGACAGCUUUCCAGGUGCUUAGGGCUCUGCCGCCUCCGGGUCGGCGUCUGCGGCUCUGGCUAGGGAACCGCCCGGGCUGAGCACCUGGGUCUGCCUGCUGGGCCUCUCCAGGGUGUCUCCUGCCUCAGCCCUCAGCGGACCUUCUCCUUGGGUGCAGAUCUGUGCCCCCAUCCCCACCCCACUGGCAAGGGCGCCACCCCACGGCCACAUUGGAUUUUUUUGUGUGUGUGCUC
Molecule: long non-coding RNA, 7473 nt
Organism: Heterocephalus glaber (naked mole-rat)
Lineage: Eukaryota; Metazoa; Chordata; Mammalia; Rodentia; Bathyergidae
Source: Ensembl